ACGGGGUGCAGCAGGCGCGAAACCUUUGCAAUGUGCGAAAGCACGACAAGGUUAAUCCGAGUGUCUCCCGCUAAGGGAGUCUUUUGUCAGUUCUAGAACCACUGGUGAAUAAGGGGUGGGCAAGUUCUGGUGUCAGCCGCCGCGGUAAAACCAGCACCUCGAGUGGUCAGGAGGUUUAUUGGGCCUAAAGCAUCCGUAGCCGGUUGCAUAAGUUUUCGGUUAAAUCUAUGCGCUUAACGUAUAGGCCGCCGAAAAUACUGUGCAGCUAGGGAGUGGGAGAGGUACACGGUACUCGAUAGGAAGGGGUAAAAUCCUUUGAUCUAUUGAUGACCACCUGUGGCGAAGGCGGUGUACCAGAACACGUUCGACGGUGAGGGAUGAAAGCUGGGGGAGCAAACCGGAUUAGAUACCCGGGUAGUCCCAGCUGUAAACUAUGCAAACUCAGUGAUGCAUUGGCUUGUGGCCAAUGCAGUGCUGCAGGGAAGCCGUUAAGUUUGCCGCCUGGGAAGUACGUACGCAAGUAUGAAACUUAAAGGAAUUGGCGGGGGAGCAC
This 553-nucleotide ribosomal RNA is filed under the name uncultured Nitrososphaerota archaeon. RNAcentral describes it as "bacterial SSU rRNA". It matches the Rfam family "Archaeal small subunit ribosomal RNA", at positions 325 to 879 of the family's 1478-position model. Lineage: Archaea; Thermoproteati; Nitrososphaerota. The record is from RNAcentral.